RNAcentral lists this ribosomal RNA (600 nucleotides) under Enterococcus faecalis. Its description in RNAcentral is "bacterial SSU rRNA". It matches the Rfam family "Bacterial small subunit ribosomal RNA", at positions 38 to 611 of the family's 1533-position model. The record is from RNAcentral. Lineage: Bacteria; Bacillati; Bacillota; Bacilli; Lactobacillales; Enterococcaceae.
GGGAUGCGCGUGCUAUACUGCAGUCGACGCUUCUUUCCUCCCGAGUGCUUGCACUCAAUUGGAAAGAGGAGUGGCGGACGGGUGAGUAACACGUGGGUAACCUACCCAUCAGAGGGGGAUAACACUUGGAAACAGGUGCUAAUACCGCAUAACAGUUUAUGCCGCAUGGCAUAAGAGUGAAAGGCGCUUUCGGGUGUCGCUGAUGGAUGGACCCGCGGUGCAUUAGCUAGUUGGUGAGGUAACGGCUCACCAAGGCCACGAUGCAUAGCCGACCUGAGAGGGUGAUCGGCCACACUGGGACUGAGACACGGCCCAGACUCCUACGGGAGGCAGCAGUAGGGAAUCUUCGGCAAUGGACGAAAGUCUGACCGAGCAACGCCGCGUGAGUGAAGAAGGUUUUCGGAUCGUAAAACUCUGUUGUUAGAGAAGAACAAGGACGUUAGUAACUGAACGUCCCCUGACGGUAUCUAACCAGAAAGCCACGGCUAACUACGUGCCAGCAGCCGCGGUAAUACGUAGGUGGCAAGCGUUGUCCGGAUUUAUUGGGCGUAAAGCGAGCGCAGGCGGUUUCUUAAGUCUGAUGUGAAAGCCCCCGGCUCA